This 897-nucleotide ribosomal RNA is filed under the name Triticum aestivum (bread wheat). RNAcentral describes it as "partial small subunit ribosomal RNA". Lineage: Eukaryota; Viridiplantae; Streptophyta; Magnoliopsida; Poales; Poaceae. The record is from RNAcentral.
AUGCCAAAGGACAGGAGCUCCCGUUCAGUCUCGCACGAGGGCUGCCGAUCUCGUGUCUCCCCAUACAAGUUGCGGAGUGGUUCUCGCAGGUCAGAGGAGGCUGCUGCCGCCGCCGCCGCUGCAGCAGCAAAGCAGGCUGCAGAAUGGGAGGAGGUUCGCUGUCCUGUGUGCAUGGAUCACCCUCAUAAUGCUGUUAUGCUUGUCUGCUCGUCACAUGAGAAAGGCUGCCGCCCUUUCAUUUGCGACACAAGCUACAGACACUCCAAUUGCCUUGAUCAGUACCGUAAAGCCUCCAAGGAGUCCUCUAAGGAUUCAGGGGCAGCAGAAUGUGCUGAGUGCCAGCAGCCAGUUAAACUCGCAUGUCCAUUAUGUCGUGGGCCGGUCAGCCAUUGGACCAAGGAUUAUGAUGCACGGAAGUUCAUGAAUUCUAAGGAUCGAGCAUGCACCAUGGAGUCAUGUGAGUUCAAGGGUGCAUACAACCAGUUGAGGAAGCACGCUAGGGAGGAUCAUCCUGCUGUCCGACCAAUGGAGGUGGACCCCAAUCGACAGCGAGACUGGCAUAGGAUGGAGCAGCAGCGUGAUCUUGGGGAUUUGUUCAGCAUGCUGCGUUCGGGGAUCAGUGGCAGAGAAGAUGGGGUUGGAGUCAGUGAAGGUGACGAGGGCGUCAGUGAGAGAUCCUUGCACGCCACGUCCAUAACGAUGGUCUUCAUUGUGCGGUCAGGCAGGUCCAUCCUACACUACACAGACGGGGAAAUCCCAGGUCGUCGAUCAAGCGGCAAUGGUGAUGCUGAGGCCACUACUACCGACAAUGAGGAAACUGACCUGGCAAUGUCAACACAGGCAUCUGCUGGUUCUCAGGAAGAUGCUGGAGAAGCCGAUGGCGAUCCUGUGCAGUGA